Molecule: ribosomal RNA, 494 nt
Filed under: uncultured bacterium
Lineage: Bacteria
Description: partial 16S ribosomal RNA
Rfam family: Bacterial small subunit ribosomal RNA
Source: RNAcentral
GACGAACGCUGGCGGCGUGCUUAACACAUGCAAGUCGAACGGAAAGGCCUGCUUUCCCUUGUGGAUUGCGGGUACUCGAGUGGAGAACGGGUGAGUAACACGUGAGUGAUCUGCCCCCAACUUGGGUAUAAGCCUGGGAAACUGGGUCUAAUUCCCGAUAGGACUGCAGGGUGGUGCCUGUGGUGGAAAACGAUUUUCUAGUGGUUGGGGAUGAGCUCGCGGCCUAUCAGCUUGUUGGUGGGGUAAUGGCCUACCAAGGCGGCGACGGGUAGCCGGCCUGAGAGGGUGGACGGCCACAUUGGGACUGAGAUACGGCCCAGACUCCUACGGGAGGCAGCAGUGGGGAAUAUUGCACAAUGGGCGGAAGCCUGAUGCAGCGACGCCGCGUGGGGGAUGACGGCCUUCGGGUUGUAAACUCCUUUCGACCGCGAGGAAGCCACCUGGUUGGAAGGGUGGUGACGGUAGUGGUAGAAGAAGCACCGGCUAACUACGUG